RNAcentral lists this ribosomal RNA (440 nucleotides) under uncultured bacterium. RNAcentral's name for it is "partial 16S ribosomal RNA". It matches the Rfam family "Bacterial small subunit ribosomal RNA", at positions 338 to 795 of the family's 1533-position model. The record is from RNAcentral.
CCUACGGGAGGCAGCAGUGGGGAAUAUUGCACAAUGGGGGAAACCCUGAUGCAGCGACGCCGCGUGAAGGAAGAAGUAUCUCGGUAUGUAAACUUCUAUCAGCAGGGAAGAAAAUGACGGUACCUGACUAAGAAGCCCCGGCUAACUACGUGCCAGCAGCCGCGGUAAUACGUAGGGGGCAAGCGUUAUCCGGAUUUACUGGGUGUAAAGGGAGCGUAGACGGAAGUGCAAGUCUGAUGUGAAAGGCUGGGGCUUAACCCCAGGACUGCAUUGGAAACUGUUUUUCUGGAGUGCAGGAGAGGUAAGCGGAAUUCCUAGUGUAGCGGUGAAAUGCGUAGAUAUUAGGAGGAACACCAGUGGCGAAGGCGGCUUACUGGACGGUAACUGACGUUGAGGCUCGAAAGCGUGGGGAGCAAACAGGAUUAGAUACCCCGGUAGUC